AAAGAAUGAAAAGUGCGAAGACAAAGAAGGAGAAGAAGAAUAAAAGAAAGAGAGAGAAAGAAGAACAAAGAGCAGAGGGAGGAAAAAUUUGUAGAAGGAGAAAGUAGAACUCAGAAGGAGAAGAACAAGGAGUCAAGAGAGAAAGAUUUCAAAAACUAGCAGAAGAAGGAGAGGAUGAAGAAAAAAGGGGAAGAGAAUAAAAAGAGGAUGAGAAAAUAAUAGGAGGAUGGGAUAAGAAUGACAAAAAGACAGAAGAAGAAAAGAAUGAGGAGUAGAAGAAGACGAGUGACUAGAAUGAGGAGAGAAGGAGGAAGAGGAACAAAGAGUAAAGGGAGGAAGAGAUGAAGAAAAUGAGGAGAGGAAAGAUAAGAAAAAAUAAGUAGAAGAAAAAGGAGAGGAGGAGACAAAAGGAGAACAGAGAAGAAGAAGAAAAGAGGAGGAGUAGUAGACAGAAGGGCAAUAAAAGAAUGGAGGAGUAGUAGAAGAAGAAAAGAAUGUGGAAGAAAUGAAUAAGAAGUAGACAGGAGGAGGAGAAGAGAGGAAUGAAGAAGAGCAGAGAAAGAAUGAGACAGACAGAAGGAGAAGAAGAAAAGAAUGAGGAGAUGAAGAGAAGGAGGAGAUGAGAAGAAUGAGGGAAAGCAGAUUAAGAAAAAUGAGGAAGAAGAGCAAGAUAUGAAAAACAAGAGGAAGAAGAGAAGAAUGAGGAAAUACAACAAGGAGUAAAGGGGAUGAAGAGAUGAAGACUAUUAAAAAGAAUGAAAAGGAGGAGAAAGAAUGAGAGGACAGGAGGAGAAAAGGAGGAAGAGAGAGAAGACAGAAUGGGGAGUAGAAAAAAGGUAGAAAAGGAAAAGAGAAGGAGGAGGACGAAGCAGAAAGAGUAAAGAGAGAAAGAGAUGGAGAAGCAGGAGGGAGAGAGAAAGGGCUAGAGGAGAGGAAGAAAAGUAGAAGAACAAAGAGGACGAAGAAAAAUGAGAGUUGAAAAAGAAGAAAAGAAUGAGGAAGAGAACUGAAGGAAGAGAAGGAAAUUAAAAGUAGACAGAAUGAGGAAGAGAGAGGAAUGAGGAAGAGCAGAGCAGACAAAGAAGGAAGAUGAGAAAGAAGGAGAACAGAGGGAGAAGGAAUGAGGAGCAAGAAGUAAAGGGAGGAAGAGAAAAAAGAAGAGGAAGGAGAUAGAGAAAGAAGUGGAAGAAGACAGAGAAGAAGGUUGGAGUAGAAUAGAAUGAGGAAGUGAAAAGGAAAAUAAAAAAGGAGAAGAGAACAGAGGAAGAAAGAAGCAGAACAAGAGAGAAUGAGGAGAAAGAUUGAGAGGAAGACAAAGGAGGAAAAAGUAGGAGUUGGAGAAAGGAGGAGGAAGAGAAAUAAGGAAACGAUAAGAGGACAAGAAGGGAGGAGAAGAAGAGGAAGGAGGAAGAAAAAGGAGAAAAAGACAGAAGAGGUAGAAAGAAGGACAUGGGGAAAGAAGAACAAGACAAAGGAGGAAAAAGGAGAAGACAGAAAAGGGAGGAAUAGGAAGAAGGAGAAGCCAGAAGGAGAAGAAGAAUGAUGAAGGAGCACAGGGAGGAAAAAAUAAGAAGACAGAAGCAGGAAAAGAUGACAGAAGGAGAAAGAAAUGGAGGACAGAGAAGGACAAGGAGAAAUAAAGGAAAAAGAAGAGAAAAAGAGAAAAAGCCAAAAGGAGGAGAAAAAGCUGAAGACAGAAGGAGGAGGAUGAGAAGGAAAGAAUGAGGAAGAGAAGGAGAAGGAGGAAGAACAAGGAGGGAAGAGGAAGAGCUGGAAAAGAAGCAGUAGGAGGAAAGGAAGGAGGAGACCUGAAAAUAAAGGGGAAGAGGAGAAGAAAACAAAGGAGAGGAUGAAGGAGUAAAAAAAAUACAAGGAUGGGAUAAGAAAAGAAUGACAAGACAGAAGGAGAAGAAGGAGAAAAUGAGGAGCAGACAAAAACAAUGAGGAAGAGAGUGAGGAAGAGUAGAAAGAGGGGGAACAAUGAGUAAUAGAGGAAGAGAUGAAAAAGAACAGGUAGAAGAGGAAGGAGAACACAAAGAAAAAAGAGCAGAUGAAAAAGAAUGAAGAGGAGAAGAAAAGAGUGACAAGAAGAAAAACAAAAGAAUGAAGAAGAGUGAAGAUGGACAAAGAAAAUGCAAGAACAAGGAGUAAAGGAAGCUGUGUAAGGAGACAAUGAAGAGUGAACGAGGAGAAGAAAAAGGAGAGGGAGGAAAAUAAAAGAACAAGAAAAAGGAUGAAGAGAAGAAUGGCAAAGAAACAAAUAAGACAGUGGAGAAGGAGAAAGAAGGAGACAAAGACAGAAGAAAGAGGAGAAAGAAGCAGAAGAUGGAAGGAGGAGGAGUAAUAGAGAAGGAGGAAGAAUAACAGAGUGGAGGGAAGAGGAGAUGAAAAAAGAAGAGGAAAAUGACAGAAUGAGGAGAAAGAAGGACAAGAAGACAGAAGAAGAGGAAAGGCUAAGAAUAAGUCAAAAUAGGAAGAAGAGAAAAAAGGAGAAGGAGGAAAGAAAAAAGAAGUGAAGUAGGUGGAGAAAAGGAGAAAGAAAAACAAGGAUUACAGGGAUGAAGAGAUGAGGAAGAAGAUGACAGAGGAGGAGGAGAAGGAGGAAAAGAAUAUGGAGAUAAAGAAGGAGUUGAAAGAAGAACAAGGAGUGGAAUGAGGGAGAGAAGGUGAAGAAGAAAAAGUAGAAGAAAGAAAGGAAGAGAACAUGAAGAAAAACAUAGAAUGAGGCAAAAAAAUAGAGAAAAAAAUGGAGGCAGUAGAAGUAGAGGGGGGAAGGAGGACAAAAUAAAUGGAAGGAAAGGGAUGAGAUGUGAGAGGAAGAGAAGAAGCAGAUAAAGGAGGAGAGGGAGAAGGAAGAGAAGGAUUAGAAGACAGAGAAGAAGAAGAGUAUAGGAGAGGAAGAAGGAGAACAUGAUGAAAAAAGGAGAAUAAAAGAGAAGAGCAGGCAAAGAGUAAGGAGAAAAACUAGUGCAUUGCAUAAAACCUGUGUACAGAACAGCAUUCAAAGGCCACUUAUCUGUCGUCUCAGAGGUGGGAAGGUCCACAAUCACAUCAGGAGACCUGAGGGUGGAAAACAAAAGUCAAACACAAUGACUUCCUGGACAGUUUCACAUGUUAACAAUUGUUGGUUGCAUAGCAUUAAAUAGUAAAAGAUCACCAAAACAUAAAUCAAGUUCCAACAUAAUGUUUCAA
Long non-coding RNA from Amphiprion ocellaris (clown anemonefish), 3192 nucleotides. The record is from Ensembl. Lineage: Eukaryota; Metazoa; Chordata; Actinopteri; Pomacentridae.